AUAAAAGUAGUUAAAUAAAAAAUAACGUCAAGCUUGCACCUUGGAAUUAGGUAGUUAUAUCUCUUUUAUA
This 70-nucleotide transfer RNA is filed under the name Ophiocomina nigra. RNAcentral's name for it is "transfer RNA-Ala". Lineage: Eukaryota; Metazoa; Echinodermata; Ophiuroidea; Amphilepidida; Ophiocomidae. The record is from RNAcentral.